RNAcentral lists this ribosomal RNA (253 nucleotides) under uncultured bacterium. RNAcentral describes it as "partial 16S ribosomal RNA". It matches the Rfam family "Bacterial small subunit ribosomal RNA", at positions 524 to 776 of the family's 1533-position model. The record is from RNAcentral.
UACGUAGGGGGCAAGCGUUGUCCGGAAUCAUUGGGCGUAAAGCGCGUGUAGGCGGCUUCGUAAGUCCGUUGUGAAAGUCCAGGGCUCAACCCUGGAAUGCCGAUGGAUACUGCGGAGCUAGAGUCCGGAAGAGGCGAGUGGAAUUCCCAGUGUAGAGGUGAAAUUCGUAGAUAUUGGGAAGAACACCGGUGGCGAAGGCGGCUCACUGGCUCGUAACUGACGCUCAUGCACGACAGCGUGGGGAUCAAACAGG